Molecule: ribosomal RNA, 254 nt
Filed under: uncultured bacterium
Lineage: Bacteria
Description: partial 16S ribosomal RNA
Rfam family: Bacterial small subunit ribosomal RNA
Source: RNAcentral
UACGGGGGGAGCAAGCGUUGUUCGGAUUUACUGGGCGUAAAGGGCGCGUAGGCGGCCAGCACAAGUCAGUUGUGAAAUCUCCGGGCUUAACUCGGAAAGGUCAACUGAUACUGUGCGACUAGAGUGCGGAAGGGGCAACUGGAAUUCUCGGUGUAGCGGUGAAAUGCGUAGAUAUCGAGAGGAACACCUGCGGCGAAGGCGGGUUGCUGGGCCGACACUGACGCUGAGGCACGAAGGUCAGGGGAGCAAACGGG